AAGUCGAUUCUUCCAGCUGGCGAACACUAAACUGGCGAAACUGAGAAGGUCAGUGCAACAAGCCUUAGUCUUUAAGACAGAUCCAACUCCUUAAUUUUCCACCUGCUACAAAAACUGAAUACUUAGAAAUGGCGCUGGAAUUGAGAUCUCUCUUGCAAUUUUCAAAACAGAGAGAAUGAAGGGGAAUUGAGAUCUCCCUUGCAAUUUUCAAAACAGAGGAG
Molecule: long non-coding RNA, 221 nt
Organism: Populus euphratica (Euphrates poplar)
Lineage: Eukaryota; Viridiplantae; Streptophyta; Magnoliopsida; Malpighiales; Salicaceae
Exons: 2
Source: RefSeq, a predicted model, not a curated record